AACGAACGUUGGCGGCGUGGAUUAGGCAUGCAAGUCGUACGGGACCUGGGGGCAACUCCAGGUUCAGUGGCGAACGGGUGAGUAACGCGUGGGAAACCUGCCCUCGAGUUCGGGAUAACACUCCCAACGGGGUGCUAAUACCGAAUAAGACCACGGAAUCACAUGGUUCUGCGGUCAAAGGUGGCCUCUGCUUGCAAGCUAUCGCUUGUGGAUGGUCCCGCGUCUGAUUAGCUAGUUGGUGGGGUAAUGGCCCACCAAGGCGACGAUCAGUAGCUGGUCUGAGAGGAUGGUCAGCCACACUGGGACUGAGAUACGGCCCAGACUCCUACGGGAGGCAG
This 338-nucleotide ribosomal RNA is filed under the name uncultured Latescibacterota bacterium. RNAcentral describes it as "bacterial SSU rRNA". It matches the Rfam family "Bacterial small subunit ribosomal RNA", at positions 29 to 351 of the family's 1533-position model. The record is from RNAcentral. Lineage: Bacteria; Pseudomonadati; Candidatus Latescibacterota.